RNAcentral lists this long non-coding RNA (208 nucleotides) under Physcomitrium patens. Its description in RNAcentral is "long non-coding RNA (PPAT_LNC005448)". The record is from RNAcentral. Lineage: Eukaryota; Viridiplantae; Streptophyta; Bryopsida; Funariales; Funariaceae.
UUGACUAGGAUUUUAUUAGGAUUUGAUUAAGAUUUGGUAAGGAUUUUAUUAGAAUUUUAUUAAGAUUUAGUCUAAGAUUAGAAUUUAGGAUUUUAUUAAGAUCUAUUAGGAUUUAAUUAGAAUUUAGUUAAGAUUUUAUUAAGACUUAGUUAUGAUUUAUUUAGAAUUUAUUAAGGGUUCUAUUAAGUUUGGUUAGGAUUCAAUUAGA